AGAGAUGUCUGGCUUGCAACA
This 21-nucleotide microRNA is filed under the name Brassica rapa (field mustard). RNAcentral describes it as "bra-miR9558-5p". Lineage: Eukaryota; Viridiplantae; Streptophyta; Magnoliopsida; Brassicales; Brassicaceae. The record is from miRBase by way of RNAcentral.